Molecule: ribosomal RNA, 1183 nt
Filed under: uncultured bacterium
Lineage: Bacteria
Description: bacterial SSU rRNA
Rfam family: Bacterial small subunit ribosomal RNA
Source: RNAcentral
AGAUGGGCUCGCGUCUGAUUAGCUAGUUGGUGAGGUAACGGCCCACCAAGGCGACGAUCAGUAGCCGGCUUGAGAGAGUGAACGGCCACACUGGAACUGAGAUACGGCCCAAACUCCUACGGGAGGCAGCAGUAGGGAAUUUUCGGCAAUGGGGGGAACCCUGACCGAGCAAUGCCGCGUGAUUGAAGAAGAUCUUCGGAUCGUAAAGAUCUGUUAUUAGGGAAGAAUGGAAUUGAUAGGAAAUGAUCAAUUUAUGACGGUGCCUAAUGAGGAAGCCCCGGCUAACUAUGUGCCAGCAGCCGCGGUAAUACAUAGGGGGCGAGCGUUAUCCGGAAUUAUUGGGCGUAAAGGGUACGUAGGCGGGCCUGCAAGUCUGAUUUGAAAGCACACGGCUUAACCGUGUGAGGUAAUUAGAAACUACAGGUCUAGAGAGUGGUAGAGGUAAAUGGAAUUCCAAGUGGAGCGGUGAAAUGCGUAGAGAUUUGGAGGAACACCAGUGGCGAAGGCGGUUUACUGGGCCACAUCUGACGCUAAUGUACGAAAGCGUGGGGAGCAAACAGGAUUAGAUACCCUGGUAGUCCACGCCGUAAACGAUGAGUGCUAAGUAUCGGUAGAUUCGGUGCUUAAGCUAACGCAGUAAGCACUCCGCCUGGGGAGUACGGUCGCAAGACUGAAACUCAAAGGAAUUGACGGGGACUCGCACAAGCGGUGGAGCAUGCGGUUUAAUUCGAUGCAACGCGAAGAACCUUACCAGGUCUUGACAGUGUAAAGAAUACUUAAGAGAUUAAGGGCUAAGAAUUAAGCUUGCUUAUUUCACUUUAUAAACAGGUGGUGCAUGGUUGUCGUCAGCUCGUGUCGUGAGAUGUUGGGUUAAGUCCCGCAACGAGCGCAACCCCUAUUGCUAGUUGCCAUCAUUAAGUUGGGCACUCUAGCAAGACUGCCGGUGACAAAUCGGAUGAAGGUGGGGAGGACGUCAAAUCAUCAUGCCCCCUAUGACCUGGGCUACACGCGUGCUACAAUGGCUAAUACAAAGAGUUGCAAAACCGUGAGGUAGAGCUAAUCUCAUAAAGUUAGUCUCAGUUCGGAUUGUAGUCUGCAACUCGACUACAUGAAGUUGGAAUCGCUAGUAAUCGUAGGUCAGCAUACUGCGGUGAAUACGUUCCCGGGCCUCGUACUCACCGCC